CGAGUACGAGAUGCUACGGCGUCGAAGCAGUCUAGGUCAUACUUCCAAGAAAAGCUUGCACUGUCAUAAACAAAGAAUGCCUGUACCAUAACCGACACAGGUGGGUAGGUAGAGUAUACUAAGGGGCGCGAGAUAACUCUCUCUAAGGAACUCGGCAAAAUGACUCCGUAACUUCGGGAGAAGGAGUGCCUUAUUUUUAAGGUUGCAAUAACAAGAUCCAAGCAACUGUUUACCAAAAACACAGGUCUCCGCUAAGUCGUAAGACGAUGUAUGGGGGCUGACGCCUGCCCAGUGCCAGAAGGUUAAAGAAGUUGGUUAGCAUUUGCGAAGCUGAUAACUGAAGCCCUGGUGAACGGCGGCCGUAACGAUAACGGUCCUAAGGUAGCGAAAUUCCCUGUCGGGUAAGUUCCGACCCGCACGAAGGCGUAAUGAUUUGGAUACUGUCUCGGAGAGGGGCUCGGUGAAAUACACUUGUCUGUGAAGAUGCGGACUACCUGCACCUGGACAGAAAGACCCUAUGAAGCUUUACUGUAACUUGAGAUUGAAAUUGGACUUUAUUUGCGCAGUAUAGGUGGGAGGCGUUGAGAAUAAUCUUGCGGGAUUAUCGGAGCCAUCAGUGAGAUACCACUCUUGUAAUGUUAGAUUUCUAACUUUGUAUCAUUAUCUGGUCAAAGAACAGUUUCAGGCGGGCAGUUUGACUGGGGCGGUCGCCUCCCAAAGGGUAACGGAGGCGCACAAAGGUUUCCUCUGAACGGGUAGAAAUCGUAUCUAGAGUGUAAAGGCAUAAGGAAGCUUGACUGUGAGACCUACAAGUCGAGCAGGGACGAAAGUCGGUCUUAGUGAUCUGACGGUGCUGAGUGGAAAGGCCGUCACUCAACGGAUAAAAGUUACUCUAAGGAUAACAGGCUGAUCUCCCCCAAGAGUUCACAUCGACGGGGAGGUUUGGCACCUCGAUGUCGGCUCAUCGCAUCCUGGGGCGGUAGUACGUCCCAAGGGUUGGGCUGUUCGCCCAUGAAAGCGGUACGCGAGCUGGGUUCAGAACGUCGUGAGACAGUUCGGUCCAUAUCCGGUGUAGGCGUUAGAAUAUUGAAAGGAGCCUUCUCUAGUACGAGAGGACCGAGAAGGACAUACCUCUGGUGUGCCAGUUAUCGUGCCAACGGUAAACGCUGGGUAGCUAUGUAUGGAGUGGAUAACCGCUGAAAGCAUCUAAGUGGAAAGCCCACCUUAAGAUAAG
RNAcentral lists this ribosomal RNA (1234 nucleotides) under metagenome. RNAcentral's name for it is "bacterial LSU rRNA". It matches the Rfam family "Bacterial large subunit ribosomal RNA", at positions 1564 to 2808 of the family's 2925-position model. The record is from RNAcentral.